UAUGUGAUCGUCUUCUCGCAUAUCAAUAAGCGGAGGAAAAGAAACUAACAAGGAUUCCCCUAGUAACGGCGAGUGAAGCGGGAAGAGCUCAAAUUUGAAAUCUUAAAGGGUUUCCCUUUACGAAUUGUAGUUUAAAGAAGUGUUUUCUGUUGAGGUUUUGGUAAAAGUUCUUUGGAAUAGGACAUCAUAGAGGGUGAGAAUCCCGUAUUUGACCUUUACUUUCAACUUUGUGAUACACUUUCAAAGAGUCGGAUUGUUUGGGAAUGCAGUCCAAAAUGGGUGGUAAAUUUCAUCUAAAGCUAAAUAUUGGCGAGAGACCGAUAAGCGAACAAGUACCGUGAGGGAAAGAUGAAAAGAACUUUGAAAAGAGAGUUAAACAGUACGUGAAAUUGUCAAAAGGGAAGCGUUUGACACCAGUGUUGUUUUUCUGAAAAUCAAUUAAAGAACUGUUUAUGCUAAGCUGUUUAGACUUUAUCAGCUAUCUGUUUAGUUUUGAGCUUUUCUUUAAUGCACUUUUCAGUUAACAAGUCAACAUCAAUUUCUUUUGCUGUAAAAAAGCUUGAGGAAGGUGGCUUGAGAUUCGUCUUAAGUGUUUAUAGCCUCUUGCCUAUGCAGUCGGAGAGAUUGAGGUCUGCAGCGUAGAUCCUUCGGGGCUAAAUGCAUUUGUGCUAAGUUAUAGCAUUUUAUAGACAACUUGUUGACUAUGAUUUGUCUUGUAGCUUACUCGCUUAUGUUAUUUUACCUACGCUUAGGAUGUUGAUCUGUAGUGCGUGCGC
This 776-nucleotide ribosomal RNA is filed under the name uncultured Neocallimastigales. Its description in RNAcentral is "partial large subunit ribosomal RNA". It matches the Rfam family "Eukaryotic large subunit ribosomal RNA", at positions 1 to 647 of the family's 3401-position model. The record is from RNAcentral. Lineage: Eukaryota; Fungi; Neocallimastigomycota; Neocallimastigomycetes; Neocallimastigales.